UACGUAGGGGGCAAGCGUUGUCCGGAUUUAUUGGGCGUAAAGAGCGCGCAGGCGGUCGUUCAAGUCGCGUGUGAAAGCCCCCGGCUCAACUGGGGAGGGUCACGCGAUACUGAUCGACUCGAAGGCAGGAGAGGGAAGUGGAAUUCCCGGUGUAGUGGUGAAAUGCGUAGAGAUCGGGAGGAACGCCUGUGGCGAAGGCGGCCACCUGGGCCGACCCUGACGCUGAGGCGCGAAGGCGUGGGGAGCGAACGGG
This 253-nucleotide ribosomal RNA is filed under the name uncultured bacterium. RNAcentral's name for it is "partial 16S ribosomal RNA". It matches the Rfam family "Bacterial small subunit ribosomal RNA", at positions 524 to 776 of the family's 1533-position model. The record is from RNAcentral.